CCUACGGGUGGCAGCAGUAGGGAAUAUUGCUCAAUGGGGGAAACCCUGAAGCAGCAACGCCGCGUGGGGGAUGAAGGUUUUCGGUUUCUAAACUCCUUUUGUUAAAGAAGAUAAUAACGGUAUCUAACGAAUAAGCACCGGCUAACUCCGUGCCGGCAGCCGCGGUAAUACGGAGGGUGCAAGCGUUACUCGGAGUGACUGGGCGUAAAGCGCGCGUAGGCGGGAUAGCAAGUCAGAUGUGAAAUCCUAGGGCUUAACCAUAGAACUGCAUUUGAAACUGUUAUUCUAGAGUAUGGGAGAGGUAGGUGGAAUGCGUGGUGUAGGGGUAAAAUGCGUAGAGAUCAAGAGGAAUACUGAUUGCGAAGGCGACCUGCUAGAACAUAACUGACGCUGAGGCGCGAAAGCGUGGGGAGCAAACAGGAUUAGAUACCCUAGUAGUC
RNAcentral lists this ribosomal RNA (440 nucleotides) under uncultured bacterium. Its description in RNAcentral is "partial 16S ribosomal RNA". It matches the Rfam family "Bacterial small subunit ribosomal RNA", at positions 338 to 795 of the family's 1533-position model. The record is from RNAcentral.